UGUAGAAGGGUUACCAGAAUGCUGAAUUUGCUAAUUACUCUUCUCUCUGCUUCUCCCAAGCAGUGAUCUUGAGAGAGAUGGGACAAAUCUAUCUUUAGUGUGAGCUGCAACUCAGGAAACUGGGAGGCUGAGGAUGAGGGAGGGGUGGCCACUUACCAAAAGUGAAGCAGGAGGAAGUGGAUGAAGAAUUGAGUGGCCUAAAGGGAAAUGACAUGACUAAGAGGGAAUUAACGGGGAGUCUGGUCACUGGGCCUAAUUGAACUCUCUCAGUCUGUGUUGUCCCUCAGCAUUGCUUCUGGAUUUCUGUUUGUACCUCUGCUGAUGGGAGGUGAGCAGAAAUGUUUAUUUUGGGACAGUGGCUAGAAGAAAAGGCUGCUUGGAGUCUCUCUGGCUUUCCCCCUAACUUGUGGAGUCCACGUCCUCUACAUCAGGCCUUUGUUGCUUGACGCAUCAGUUUGAACCCAAAAGGGCCUACCUUGGACUUGCAGUGUAACCAGUCCUCUCCCAGUUUCUACCAGCUGCUGAAAGCGUGAAGAUUUCUCCCCAUGCUCUUGGGUUGCCUGGAGAUAAAUUGUGCUCUGAAAAGAUGUGCUGCGGGAAGAGGAGGAAAGGGCAAAUAUUGGGCACAGCUGGGCUGAACUUGUCCUCCUGCCGGUGGUUAAGCUGCAAGCCUAGACCUCUCUCCAGGCCUGAACACCCAGCCAGGCCUUGCUCUGUUCUCACAUUUAGCCCAGAGCUUUCCACCAGGCCUUGGCAAUGUAGCUCCUGAAUGCUCAGAGGUUCAUUCACAGAGACUGAUGUUGUUUGGAGUCCUGGAAAGUCCCCUUUGAAUAGUAGGUCCAGUGUGGGUGAAAUAAAGUACUUUCCUGGAAAAGAA
This is a long non-coding RNA of Bubalus bubalis (water buffalo), 877 nucleotides long. RefSeq lists it as uncharacterized. Lineage: Eukaryota; Metazoa; Chordata; Mammalia; Artiodactyla; Bovidae. The transcript is spliced from 2 exons. The record is from RefSeq and is a predicted model, not a curated record.